RNAcentral lists this ribosomal RNA (982 nucleotides) under uncultured Bacteroides sp. RNAcentral describes it as "bacterial SSU rRNA". It matches the Rfam family "Bacterial small subunit ribosomal RNA", at positions 509 to 1503 of the family's 1533-position model. Lineage: Bacteria; Pseudomonadati; Bacteroidota; Bacteroidia; Bacteroidales; Bacteroidaceae. The record is from RNAcentral.
CAGCAGCCGCGGUAAUACGGAGGAUCCGAGCGUUAUCCGGAUUUAUUGGGUUUAAAGGGAGCGUAGGUGGACUGGUAAGUCAGUUGUGAAAGUUUGCGGCUCAACCGUAAAAUUGCAGUUGAUACUGUCAGUCUUGAGUACAGUAGAGGUGGGCGGAAUUCGUGGUGUAGCGGUGAAAUGCUUAGAUAUCACGAAGAACUCCGAUUGUGAAGGCAGCUCACUGGACUGCAACUGACACUGAUGCUCGAAAGUGUGGGUAUCAAACAGGAUUAGAUACCCUGGUAGUCCACACAGUAAACGAUGAAUACUCGCUGUUUGCGAUAUACAGUAAGCGGCCAAGCGAAAGCGUUAAGUAUUCCACCUGGGGAGUACGCCGGCAACGGUGAAACUCAAAGGAAUUGACGGGGGCCCGCACAAGCGGAGGAACAUGUGGUUUAAUUCGAUGAUACGCGAGGAACCUUACCCGGGCUUAAAUUGCAGUGGAAUGAUGUGGAAACAUGUCAGUGAGCAAUCACCGCUGUGAAGGUGCUGCAUGGUUGUCGUCAGCUCGUGCCGUGAGGUGUCGGCUUAAGUGCCAUAACGAGCGCAACCCUUAUCUUCAGUUACUAACAGGUCAUGCUGAGGACUCUGGAGAGACUGCCGUCGUAAGAUGUGAGGAAGGUGGGGAUGACGUCAAAUCAGCACGGCCCUUACGUCCGGGGCUACACACGUGUUACAAUGGGGGGUACAGAAGGCAGCUAGCGGGUGACCGUAUGCUAAUCCCAAAAUCCUCUCUCAGUUCGGAUCGAAGUCUGCAACCCGACUUCGUGAAGCUGGAUUCGCUAGUAAUCGCGCAUCAGCCACGGCGCGGUGAAUACGUUCCCGGGCCUUGUACACACCGCCCGUCAAGCCAUGGGAGCCGGGGGUACCUGAAGUACGUAACCGCAAGGAUCGUCCUAGGGUAAAACUGGUGACUGGGGCUAAGUCGUAACAAGGUAGCCGU